GGAAGGAUCAUUAACACGUACCCCCUAAUACGUACCAACCCAAUACCCACUCUAGUGUCGAACUACUGAGGCCUACUUCUCACGUGAGGGGAGCCAGCAAGCAAUUGCUUGCGAAGCUCCCUCCAACCCUGAACCUGAAUACUAAACAAUUCCCCAAAUCGGGGCAGGCAGCCAAACAGGGGAGCCAGAAGUGCCGGGGUCGCCUCCAUCAAACGAGGCACCCUUUAUUUGGUGUUCAGCUUGCCACGUUAACCUUUUUUUAAACCCCUUUUUGAAAUAACUAAACCUCGACUUACAACCUGCGGCUUUCGCUCUCCUUCAAACCGAGAGCGAGUCGUAUGAUAUUUAUUAACCUAAAUACAACUUUUAGCAAUGGAUAUCUUGGUUCUCGCAACGAUGAAGAACGCAGCGAAAUGCGAUACGUAAUGUGAAUUGCAGAAAUCCGUGAAUCAUCGAAUCUUUGAACGCAAAUGGCGCUCCUGGGUAGCCCGGGAGCAUGCCUCUUUGAGUAUCGGUUCACCCCUCUCCUCUUUCCCUCUUGCUUUCGAGCAGGGGGGAUAAGUAGGGCCAACAGUUGAGUGCUUCUGCCUUCUCUCUCGAGUCGGCAGUCACUUUAAAUUUUUGUUUAUCCACCGCCAGUAAAACAGGUCGGCCACUAACAAAAAGGUCUUGAGCCCUUCGCCAAAGUUUUGCAAAAAGCUUUGGGACUGGGCGCUUGACGGCAGAUAGAUCACCUCUGUGUGACCUAAAACAUCUUUCGUCUUGCGCACUCCACCAGUUGGCUUCAAGGCUUGUGGCUUUUUGUUUUUGCUGCUUGCGGUCGCUGCUCUGCCUGGCAUUGUCUCCCCACUUUUGUGUGUGAGGCGUGUCGGCAGCCAGCAAACUACCCCCAAAUAACCGUAUCUGAUCUCAAAUGAGGUAAGAGGACCCCCUGAACUUAAGCAUAUUAUUAAGGGGAGGAAAAGAAACUAACAAGGAUUCCCCCAGUAACGGCGAGUGAAGCGGGAAGAGCUCAACUUGAAAAUCGGACGACUUGCGCGUUCGAAUUGUAGUCUAGAGAAGUGUGGUCAGCGAGUGGCCCGGGCCUAAGUCCUUUGGAACAAGGCGUCAGAGAGGGUGAGAACCCCGUCUUUGGUCCGGUGUCUGCCGCGUACGACGCGCUUUCGAAGAGUCGGGUUGCUUGGGACUGCAGCCCUAAACGGAUGGUAAAUUUCAUCUAAAGCUAAAUACCGGCGAGAGACCGAUAGCGAACAAGUACCGUGAGGGAAAGAUGAAAAGAACUUUGAAAAGAGAGUUAAAAAGUGCUUGAAAUUGCUAAAAGGGAAGCGAUGGAAACCAGUCGUGUGCAGGGGGCAUUUCCCCUUGGCUCCCAAAGGCUCAGGCGGUCGACCGUAAGGCACGCCGUUUGAGCUGGAGGAUGGCCAGGGGUUCCUUGUCCCUUGCGAGUGUCAGGAUCAGCUCGUCGCCCGCAGCAGAACCGCUCGAGGAAGGUAGGUUGAAUCGGCCUUGUGCCGUGCAGACUGUUACAGACUCGAGGCCGGCGCUAGCGGGUCGGGCUGAGGCCGCUUCAACGCGGACAACGCGCGCCCUUCGGCGGGACCGCCCUCUCCUGGGAUGCCACGCCAGCAGAAUGCAAUGCAUUGUGUUGGUUGAAGAGUCUUACUGAGGGGGACCGGUCACCUGCGCGUUCGAGAUCCUGGCGAAAUGGUUUUCAUCGACCCGUCUUGAAACACGGACCAAGGAGUCUAACAUAUAUGCGAGUAUUUGGGUGACAAACCCUGAUGCGCAAUGAAAGUGAAGGCCAGCAGUUUCGCUGGCUGAGGUGUGAUCGCUUCCCUCGGGGGGCGUGCAACAUCGACCGAUCAGUCACUUGUGAAAGAUUUGAGUAAGAGCAUAUCUGUCGGGACCCGAAAGAUGGUGAACUAAGCCUGGACAGGGCGAAGCCAGGGGAAACUCUGGUGGAGGCUCGUAGCGAUACUGACGUGCAAAUCGUUCGUCUGAUCUGGGUUUAGGGGCGAAAGACUAAUCGAACCAUCUAGUAGCUGGUUCCCUC
RNAcentral lists this unclassified non-coding RNA (2053 nucleotides) under uncultured fungus. Its description in RNAcentral is "sequence contains 18S rRNA gene, ITS1, 5.8S rRNA gene, ITS2, 28S rRNA gene". The stretch from base 905 to 2053 matches the Rfam family "Eukaryotic large subunit ribosomal RNA", at positions 1 to 961 of the family's 3401-position model. Lineage: Eukaryota; Fungi. The record is from RNAcentral.